AAAAAAAUUUUUGUCCUAAAUUUUUCUCCGUUUCCAUAGGAGUUAUAUAUUCUGUUAUAGCUGCACAUUAUUUGUUCACAAUAUUGUAGCAGAACAGAGCAUGUGAGUGAAAAACAGGCAUAACAAGGGAGGUAUGGGGGUUGCUUCCCUCCAGUAUUUGCAUAUAACUCCAGUGAAUGCUAUUCCCGGUAUCCUUUUGGUCUUUCCUAUACCUGACAAAUUUUUACGCCCCCGAGAAAAAAUGUUUCAUAUACAGUACGUAUGUAACCCGAGCGUAAACUGUACGAGUGUAAGUCUACAAAAGUCCAAAACAGGUAUAAAUAGAAGUCGCAGCUGUCAUGCUGACAGUUGUAAGGCAUAGAUGUUGCACACAGCUCCAAGCGAUGGGAGUUGUUAUAAAUUGUUCGGAUUAUUCUGAGUUUGCCGUUUGGUCUAAGUAGACGCAUGCGGUAAAGACUCGGAAAUAAAACACUAGAGGGAAUUAGAUGCCGUCUGCUGUGGCCUCUGUCUUUCUCUCCUCUCCCCCUUUGUCUCCUUUUCUCCUUUCUUGGUCUCUGUCAUCUCUUCCAGGAGUCAAGAUGAGCACCGUCCAGCAGCACCUUCCUCCCACAUCCCUCUUUCCAUUGUCUUCGGCACCGCGACCCCUCGGCAUGAAAAUCCCGGCACUCCCACACUGAAGUUUAGCACCUGUCUUCUGGACUCCAGUAGUACAAUUUCGAUGCCUGACGUGCAAUGGAAGGUGAACGAACGCAUGGAGCGUCGGGCAACACGCCGCCAUGGGAUGCCGCCGUCAGUGUGCUCGCAAUCAGCAUCGACUACGAUAAUUGAGAGUAAAACUGCGGCGAAGGAGAUGGAGAGCAUGCAGAGGAAGACCAAAGCGACAGCUCCUUUGAACGCCACCGCUCCUUUUGCGCGAGGGGCUGGAGGAAGGCGGCUCGCGAACACAUAGCAGCUGGGUCUCGGCAGCAGUCGCUUGAAAGCAUGACACAUCCUAUUACUCCUGUGAGAUCAGGCAAUUUCCACGUCAUCUCCUGUUUCUGAGGGUAUUUAUAGACUUUCAAAGGCAGCAUGGCAGUAGGCAAGCAUCCCUCUCCUUGUCUCUCACUCCCAGUCUCUUGCUCUCUCUCUCCCUCCGUCUCUCGCUCUUGCCUCUGAUCUUGCUCGAGCUAAUGUCCUCUCUCUUCGCCGUCGCCCCACCUUCCCACACACACACACACACACACACACACACACACACACACACACACACUGCCUCCUGCUGUCCCUGCUGCUUGAGAUCAGCAUCGAUUAAAAUCUGAGGUUCAGCUGACGACGAGACUACACCCAUGAACACCAAGCCCAGAAACGUGCAUUAAGAGCCAAUAUCUGGAUACCGCCCCCGCCCCCGCCCCCCCCCAAGGGCACCCGUGUUAUCUGACUAGCUGAUCUCCAAGGGGUUGUAAGCCACUGUCUAAAUCAUGCGGUAUCGGCAAGGAGAAUGCAGUUGCCGUGGCGACCCAGCAGGCCAACGAAACGCACGGGCUCCCCGGAGACGGGCUAAUACAAGCUGUAGCGCAAGCAGGUGGCCGAAAUGAGCCGCGCACGACAGCUUUGAAGACCAAAUUACAACAAUUUGCUUCAGAUUUAUCUGUUUUUGUCCAAACAUCGCCAUUUUUACCUUAACAGCCUUGAGGGGAGGAAGUACAUGUAAAAAAAAUAGAGGAAGAGAAGGAAGGCAGUGGCAUUUUAAGUGUAGCGUAACAGCGAGCAGCUGUGGCACAUCGCAACGCGUGACCCGUGU
Molecule: long non-coding RNA, 1780 nt
Filed under: Scleropages formosus (Asian bonytongue)
Lineage: Eukaryota; Metazoa; Chordata; Actinopteri; Osteoglossiformes; Osteoglossidae
Description: lncRNA (ENSSFOG00015025601.1)
Source: RNAcentral